CCUACGGGUGGCAGCAGUGGGGAAUAUUGGACAAUGGGGGGAACCCUGAUCCAGCGACGCCGCGUGAGUGAAGAAGUAUUUCGGUAUGUAAAGCUCUAUCAGCAGGGAAGAAAGAAAUGACGGUACCUGACUAAGAAGCCCCGGCUAACUACGUGCCAGCAGCCGCGGUAAUACGUAGGGGGCAAGCGUUAUCCGGAUUUACUGGGUGGAAAGGGAGCGUAGACGGCGAUGCAAGUCUGAAGUGAAAGGCGGGGGCCCAACCCCGGGACUGCUGUUGGAACUGAAUGGCUGGAGUACAGGAGGGGCAGGCGGAAUUCCUGGUGUAGCGGUGAAAUGCGUAGAUAUUAGGAGGAACACCGGUGGCGAAGGCGGCCUGCUGGACUGUGACUGACGUGGAGGCCCGAAGGCGUGGGGAGCAAACAGGAUUAGAUACCCGAGUAGUC
Molecule: ribosomal RNA, 443 nt
Filed under: uncultured bacterium
Lineage: Bacteria
Description: partial 16S ribosomal RNA
Rfam family: Bacterial small subunit ribosomal RNA
Source: RNAcentral